This 64-nucleotide transfer RNA is filed under the name Ptyas mucosa (Dhaman). Its description in RNAcentral is "tRNA-Arg". RNAcentral also lists the same sequence under 1 other name. Lineage: Eukaryota; Metazoa; Chordata; Lepidosauria; Squamata; Colubridae. The record is from RNAcentral.
ACUGCGGUAGUCUAACAGACAUUUGAUUUCGACCCAAAAGAACUUAUCUAUAUAAGCCACAGUA